Molecule: ribosomal RNA, 505 nt
Filed under: uncultured bacterium
Lineage: Bacteria
Description: partial 16S ribosomal RNA
Rfam family: Bacterial small subunit ribosomal RNA
Source: RNAcentral
GACGAACGCUGGCGGCGUGCCUAAUACAUGCAAGUAGAACGCACAGUUUAUACCGUAGCUUGCUACACCAUAGACUGUGAGUUGCGAACGGGUGAGUAACGCGUAGGUAACCUGCCUGGUAGCGGGGGAUAACUAUUGGAAACGAUAGCUAAUACCGCAUAAUAUUGAUUAUUUCAUGAUAAUUGAUUGAAAGAUGCUAUUGCAUCACUACCAGAUGGACCUGCGUUGUACUAGCUAGUAGGUGAGGUAACGGCUCACCUAGGCGACGAUACAUAGCCGACCUGAGAGGGUGAUCGGCCACACUGGGACUGAGACACGGCCCAGACUCCUACGGGAGGCAGCAGUAGGGAAUCUUCGGCAAUGGAAGAAAGUCUGACCGAGCAACGCCGCGUGAGUGAAGAAGGUUUUCGGAUCGUAAAGCUCUGUUGUAAGAGAAGAACGGGUGUGAGAGUGGAAAGUUCACACUGUGACGGUAUCUUACCAGAAAGGGACGGCUAACUACGUG